CAUUGAAGUGAUGAUAUUUUCAUCUGAAUUUUAUAAAUGUUGAGUUAAUAAAUCAGACUACAAUUAUCUGAUCAAUG
Abrus precatorius (Indian licorice) is the source of this 77-nucleotide small nucleolar RNA. RefSeq annotates it as small nucleolar RNA Z155. The record is from RefSeq and is a predicted model, not a curated record. The transcript has a single exon. NCBI's taxonomy places the organism in Eukaryota, Viridiplantae, Streptophyta, Magnoliopsida, Fabales, Fabaceae.